This 433-nucleotide ribosomal RNA is filed under the name uncultured bacterium. RNAcentral describes it as "partial 16S ribosomal RNA". It matches the Rfam family "Bacterial small subunit ribosomal RNA", at positions 29 to 507 of the family's 1533-position model. The record is from RNAcentral.
AACGAACGCUGGCGGCAUGCCUAACACAUGCAAGUCGAACGAGACCUUCGGGUCUAGUGGCGCACGGGUGCGUAACGCGUGGGAACCUUCCCUUAGGUUCGGAAUAACUCCCCGACAGGGGUGCUAAUACCGGAUAAUGUCUUCGGACCAAAGAUUUAUCGCCUUUGGAUGGGCCCGCGUUGGAUUAGCUAGUUGGUAGGGUAAAAGCCUACCAAGGCGACGAUCCAUAGCUGGUCUGAGAGGAUGAUCAGCCACACUGGGACUGAGACACGGCCCAGACUCCUACGGGAGGCAGCAGUGGGGAAUAGUGGACAAUGGGCGAAAGCAUGAUCCAGCAAUGACGCGUGAGUGAUGAAGGCAUUAGGGUUGUAAAGCUCUUUUAACCGGGAUGAUAAUGACAGUACCGGGAGAAUAAGCGCCGGCUAACUCCGUG